CCUACGGGCGGCAGCAGUGGGGGAUAUUGCACAAUGGGCGAAACCCUGAUGCAGCGACGCCGCGUGAGUGAAGAAGUAUUUCGGUAUGUAAAGCUCUAUUAGCCGGGAAGAAAAAAGUCGGUACCUGACUAAGAAGCGCCUGCCAACUACGUGCCAGCAGCCGCGGUAAUUAGUAGGGGGCAAGCGGUUUCCGGAUUUACUGGGUGUAAAGGGAGCGUAGACGGCAAUACAAGUCGCACGUGAAAUACCCGGGCUCAAACUGGGGACUGCUUUGGAAACUGUAUGGCUGGAGUGCUGGAGAGGUAAGCGGAAUGCCUGGUGUAGCGGUGAAAUGCGUAGAUAUUAGGAGGAACACCAGUGGCGAAGGCAGCUUGCUGGACAGUAACUGACGUUGAGGCACGAAAGCGUGGGGAGCAAACAGGAUUAGAUACCCGGGUAGUC
RNAcentral lists this ribosomal RNA (441 nucleotides) under uncultured bacterium. RNAcentral's name for it is "partial 16S ribosomal RNA". It matches the Rfam family "Bacterial small subunit ribosomal RNA", at positions 338 to 795 of the family's 1533-position model. The record is from RNAcentral.